RNAcentral lists this long non-coding RNA (866 nucleotides) under Homo sapiens (human). RNAcentral's name for it is "novel transcript". The record is from RNAcentral. Lineage: Eukaryota; Metazoa; Chordata; Mammalia; Primates; Hominidae.
AGGUAGAGGUCACCAGCAUAGGUCAGAGGGGAUAUUGUAUGUAACUGGUGACAUUUGAAAGAGACAUAUUGGACAGAAAUGACAUACGUGAAAGCUAAGAUACAAUAUAUUUAAUUUUCUAAGAAUUCAGUUCAAGGUAGUCUGCCUGGUUUCUCAAGUUCUGCAUGUUUCUUCAGUAGACUAAAUAAUGAUAAGGAAGCUGAGAUGUAGAGCUGAAGUGUCUUGCCCAAGAUCAUUUGUCUACUGCAGCUCCUGUUCCACUUCCUUUCUUGUACUGCUGAACAUCCAGAUAGAGGCAUUGACAUGCAUGGUUUCCAACUGAUCACUUCCUACUCCCUUAAGGACCUCCUGUCAGGCAGUUUUGCUAAUUUCUUUAAUAUCAGAAGACAGCUGGAUUCUCAUUUCUGCUUCUGCAUUCAGUCUAUUGUGAUAUAGCAUAUCAUGUAACUUCUGAAAAACUUCACUGUACACAGAUGCUGACCUCACAGACUCCCUGAAAGGAUCUCCAUGACCUCUAUGGUUCCUUAGACUGCACUUUGAGAACUAUUGACGUACAGGGAAAAAUGCUCUUGGUGUUCCAGUUAAGCACAGAAUAAAAUCUGGACUGUGUCAGUUUGUAAAGAUCUUAUGUCUACUUGGUCAUCAGCCAAGAAGGGAUUCCGAAGAUAGAAGAGGAGGCAUCAACACCGUGAACAUCAUGGCUGAGUUAUUUUGUGAGAGGGAUAAGCCUAAAGUAAAAACCUUGGAUUUGCCUCUGUCCUUGAACAUGCUAUCUGGAAAGAGUUUUCUUAAAAGUAUUGUUGUGAACACAUCCAUUUUCCCAGUAUAGUUGAAUGCAGGGUUUAAUAAAUGGAAUGAAUCUAGUU